This 97-nucleotide ribosomal RNA is filed under the name uncultured bacterium. RNAcentral's name for it is "partial 16S ribosomal RNA". It matches the Rfam family "Bacterial small subunit ribosomal RNA", at positions 1386 to 1482 of the family's 1533-position model. The record is from RNAcentral.
CACACCGCCCGCCACACCAUGGGAGUUUGUUGCACCAGAAGCAGGUAGCUUAACCUUCGGGAGGGCGCUUGCCACGGUGUGGCCGAUGACUGGGGUG